GACGAACGCUGGCGGCGUGCUUAACACAUGCAAGUCGAGCGGAAAGGCCACUUCGGUGGUACUCGAGCGGCGAACGGGUGAGUAACACGUGAGUAAUCUGCCCCUGGCUUUGGGAUAGCCACCGGAAACGGUGAUUAAUACCGGAUAUGACACAUUCUCGCAUGAGUUUGUGUGGAAAGUUUUUCGGCCAGGGAUGUGCUCGCGGCCUAUCAGCUUGAUGGUGAGGUAAUGGCUCACCAUGGCUUCGACGGGUAGCCGGCCUGAGAGGGUGACCGGUCACACUGGGACUGAGACACGGCCCAGACUCCUACGGGAGGCAGCAGUGGGGAAUAUUGGACAAUGGGCGGAAGCCUGAUCCAGCAACGCCGCGUGAGGGAUGACGGCCUUCGGGUUGUAAACCUCUUUCAGUACCGACGAAGCGCAAGUGACGGUAGGUACAGAAGAAGCACCGGCCAACUACGUG
Molecule: ribosomal RNA, 463 nt
Filed under: uncultured bacterium
Lineage: Bacteria
Description: partial 16S ribosomal RNA
Rfam family: Bacterial small subunit ribosomal RNA
Source: RNAcentral